Molecule: long non-coding RNA, 290 nt
Organism: Triplophysa rosa
Lineage: Eukaryota; Metazoa; Chordata; Actinopteri; Cypriniformes; Nemacheilidae
Exons: 4
Source: RefSeq, a predicted model, not a curated record
GCCAUUUCUGCUGUGGGAUGAGGAGUUACGACCGAUUCUCUUGCUGUUUAAUUCGUUAUUGAUUUAAGAAAAUCACGAACUGAACAUCAGCCUUCUAGUGAUAGAUUGUGAAUGUGGCAGUGCAAAGAAAGCUCCUGGGCCUCAUCAAAUGUCACCAUGUCCUAGGCUUGUCGAACGACUUGAGGGCCUCAGCCAUUGAGGAUGCAGAAAGUGGCAUUGCAAGCACAGUCAUGGGGAUUUACACAAUCUGAGGAGAAGGUUCUACAAAACCAGAUGAUGUAGGAAUAGUG